This is an RNA transcript of Cucumis melo (muskmelon), 879 nucleotides long. RefSeq lists it as uncharacterized. Lineage: Eukaryota; Viridiplantae; Streptophyta; Magnoliopsida; Cucurbitales; Cucurbitaceae. The record is from RefSeq and is a predicted model, not a curated record. The transcript is spliced from 3 exons.
UUUAUCUUUGUGUGUUGGGUAUGUGCAUGAAAAUACACAAAACAAAGUUAAAGAUGAGUGUGUCGUAUUUAUUCUUCUCAGUAUAAAGCAAACACAGCUGGGUUCCCUCCAUCUCACGUUUGAAGCCAUUAUUAUUUUUUUUUUUUCUUUUUUGUUUUCUCAAUCUCUCUAGGUUCGAGAAAGUGCAAUAGAAUCCUAAAGAGAAAACCCAAUAACACCAAACCACCUUUGAAUAAAACCCUUUGUUCAACCAAAAUAUAUAACACAAAACAAACUUCACUUCGAACAAAUUACACCAAUUUCUUUUCUCUCUUUUCUUCUCUCAACAUAACCCAAAAUCAAAAUCCUGUCAUGUAGCGAGUUUAAAGAGAAAGAGAGGGCAGAGAAAAUGACUUGUUAUUGUUGGUGUUCUUCUUGUAAGUUUGGUUCACUUCUUGUUAUGGCUUUUAUUUGGCUUUUGUUGGCUAAUGGUUCGUGUCAAAGGAAAGAACCUGUCGUGGUGGGGAAGGUGACGACAGCGAUGGGAGAUGAAUUCAGUGGAGUUUUCAAAAAGACGACGGUGGUGGUGGGUGGCGGGAAGGUUGUUGAUCAUCCAGAGUGGCAUCUCAACUACAUGAGCAAAAGAAGAGUUCCUAAUGGUCCUGAUCCUAUCCAUAAUCGGAGAGCAGGAAACUCUGGAAGACCACCAGGCAAGGCUUAGCCCUUAAGAAAGAAACUAAAUUAAAAAGCUUUUGUAACAAAUUGGGCUUUCAAGAUCAUGACACCAAGAUGCAUCGUCUGUGCUAUCUUGUAUGUAUUAACUUUAGGUAUUAAAUGAUGAAAAAACUUAUCGGAUCCCGAUUUUUCCUUCAGAAAUUUUAAUUAGGAUCCUUUCGAUAA